UCGAUAUCUGUGGCAGAAAGACUCCUGGCAAAGAUACUGGUUGGAGGCUUGGUGGGCUCUGCAAAUGAAUUCAGGAAAAUUUACAACUGCGUCAGCUUUAUCACAACAGCAACAAGGGCAAGCUCUGAGCAUUCUUAGGACUAUGUGAGAGGCAUUGUAAAUGCAGGACCUUCCCAGAAGAAGGCCGGCUGGGUUCCCCAAUGCCAAUCACGUUAGCUGCAACAGUUCGGAAUUCAUAUUCAACCCAUGGAUUCAAACCCACCACAGUUGCUGUGAAUGUCUUCCCAUCGACGAGUUCUGGAACUGAAAGAUAUCCAAAGAAGUUUCUGACAGACAACGGCACCCAGCAUGCAAUAUGGUACCUGUGCUGACUGCUUGCCAUCCCACGGAGAAUGGAGUCCUAGCUUGGAUGACAUACAUGGUGAUAGGGCUGUGGUUGUCAGGUCCUGGUCUCCAAGAAAGCUGAGCAGUGGUGUCUGUGAUUUCAUCUAUGGUCACAGCCUCAGGAGGACCUGGAGGACCUGGAAGAAGGAAAAGCAUUCAGAAUUAGACAGUGUACUCAAAUGUCCAAGUAUGUAACCUACUCACUUAAAUGGGGGUACUGAAUCACUCAGUCAUGUGUUUACCUACAUGUCCAUUUCAUAAUUUCUUUUUAAAAAUCUCCUGGGUAACAAGAACCUAGUUUAACUUUGAAACUAUAGCAAUGAACUGAUACAUGUUGCUUUUUGCAGAGCCUCCCAGAACAUAGGGAAAACACAAACAGGCAAAGAAAGGAUUACAGUGGAACAUCGGGAGAGUAUGUUGGGGCACUUGCUGCCAUCCUCACUGCAUUCAGCAGCUGCACGUGCUUUUAAGCAAAGGGACUGCUGUGAAAAUGGCCAGUUCACAAGAGUCAUCCUCCUCUUUGAAGUAAUUCCAAAACUGAGUUGGAGUCUAACAUCCCCCAGGAUGUUAGUUUCUAUAUGACAUUCCUAUAUUUUUCUACUUAUCUUGCUGAUGGUUAUGCUUCUCUGCUUCUGUGUACUUAAACCAUUGAAAAAAGAAGAAAUGCUAUCUAAAUGGCAGUCUGGAGAUCAUACACAGAGGGAUAGAACAACAAUUAUGAGGUGAAACAUCAAGAGGGUCAGAGGAAAGACCCAGAACUUUCCUAGCUGCCAGUAUUACAAGCUGUGGCCAGACAGUUAAA
Molecule: long non-coding RNA, 1186 nt
Organism: Apodemus sylvaticus (European woodmouse)
Lineage: Eukaryota; Metazoa; Chordata; Mammalia; Rodentia; Muridae
Exons: 4
Source: RefSeq, a predicted model, not a curated record